Long non-coding RNA from Macadamia integrifolia, 581 nucleotides. RefSeq lists it as uncharacterized. NCBI's taxonomy places the organism in Eukaryota, Viridiplantae, Streptophyta, Magnoliopsida, Proteales, Proteaceae. The transcript has 2 exons. The record is from RefSeq and is a predicted model, not a curated record.
UUCGAAUCCACCAAGACUUUGAACAAAACACUUUUGAAGCACUGUUAAUGUUUUUUUGAGUUUUUGAUGGAUGUAGGUCUAGUGUUAUUUUUUUUGGGUUGUAAUUGUAUGCUUUCUGGCAGAGUUCAAGUUUAUAUGUGUAAUGUAGCAGCAGAGAUGAGGCAAAACCAACCCUUCUGAGUUUUACAUAUUCUUCCUCAUCUGGGUUCACAACCUAUUAGCCAACAACAUUUACUUUCCUAUUAUAUACUUGGGUGUCUUGUCCAUUGGUGCCAUUGCCACUGCCAUUAAUCGUCUCAAUAGUCUCCCUGAGAUACAGAAGCAAUUGAACCAUUGCUUAAGAAGAAAUGAUAAGCAGCAAAAAUGGGAGAUGUAACUACAGUAACUCUUUUGAUGGGUGUGGGGAUCUCAAGGAAAUGAAGAAAGGGUUGGAAACCCUGUUUUGUCUACUGCUCAGGGUAACAAAACUUGAAGAUAAUCAAGUAUGGAUCUCAUAGAUUUUUAAGUUCUUGGUUUCAAUGAAGUGGGUUUCUGUGAUAAUCUUGUUAUUUUGGAGCUUGGACUGAUAAUUGAGUGGAAAA